Molecule: transfer RNA, 77 nt
Filed under: Candidatus Omnitrophota bacterium
Lineage: Bacteria; Pseudomonadati; Candidatus Omnitrophota
Description: Candidatus Omnitrophica bacterium tRNA-Glu
Rfam family: tRNA
About the family: Transfer RNA (tRNA) molecules are approximately 80 nucleotides in length. Their secondary structure includes four short double-helical elements and three loops (D, anti-codon, and T loops).
Source: RNAcentral
GACCCCAUCGUCUAGCCCGGUUAGGACUCAGGCCUUUCGAGCCUGUAGCGCCGGUUCAAAUCCGGCUGGGGUCGCGA